UGCGUAGGCGGUUCGUUAAGUCAAAUCUGAAAGCCCCCAGCUUAACUGGGGAGAGUGAUUUGAAACUGGCGAACUUGAGUAUGGCAGAGGUAAGUGGAAUUUCAUGUGUAGCGGUGGAAUGCGUAGAUAUAUGAAGGAACACCAGUGGCGAAGGCGGCUUACUGGACCAGAACUGACGCUGAGGCACGAAAGCGUGGGGAGCAAACAGGAUUAGAUACCCUGGUAGUCC
Molecule: ribosomal RNA, 229 nt
Filed under: uncultured bacterium
Lineage: Bacteria
Description: partial 16S ribosomal RNA
Rfam family: Bacterial small subunit ribosomal RNA
Source: RNAcentral